UUAUAAGUAUGUAUCUGAAUACCAUCCAUAACUCAGGAAUACAAUACGCCAUACACACAAAUAAAUGCCCUUACCGGGACCCGGACCCAGACCAUUCAGCUUCGUAGGCAGGUCACGUCUCUACUGACUAGGCUAGGAUGACACGAUAAGGAGUCUUUCUAUCGAACAGUGUUAACAAUGGCGUUUUCUGCCCUCCGGGCGGCAAGCGUCAACUUUGCUCCCGCUGCGCUAGAUGAAGUUGCCGCUUUCUGCCUCCGUCGAACAGAAAAAUAGUAUGCGCACCACGGGAGGAAUCUUAGGACAUUCCAUUCCGCGUGCUUGGUACAAUUUUACACGCGGCACGCAAUGUCCUACUUUUCUUCCCUUGGGCCACAAAUAACUAUUGUUCCAUCGAGUCACUACUACUAUAGGCGAUGCCCGCAUAUAUCCUACGUCCCGUCCGUUACUUUUAAGGAAGGUUGUCCUUUUAUUCUGUGACAACGCAGUUUCACUUAAAGUAGGUCAUAUCUUACACAGUUCAUAUAUGUAAAGUGAUAAUUUAAUGAUAGCAAAAACCUAUGUGCCUACGUAAUUAGAUAUGAGAUGCUUUAUUACGUAAACUUCCACAGAUAAUAAGACUGAAACAAUAGACUUAAUUGGUAUUGCUAUACAAGGAAAUAUCUCUCAGUCAAUAUAACAGAUGGUCCAUCAGGUAAUACGGGUCAACUUGACGUCAGUUCUAUUGUCCUUAGGUCUAUGAAAACAACUUAUAAAUAGGUAGGGCUGUGAUACAAGCGUGUGUCAUUCAAUUCAGGUCUGUGAACAACAUGUCAACUAUAAAAGUGCUCGUGAUUCUCGCAGUUGCAAUGCUAGCCUCGGCAGCGCCGUCUCCGGGUAUCCAUAUACAUGCAUCAGCGUAUGUUCCUCCGCCGGUGGUUCACCACGUCCCCGUGUACCACGAGACUUACGCCUACCACGAACCGAUUGUCGCGCCAGUGGUACACCCUGUGCCAGUAGCGUACCACCAUUCUUAUGUACAACCUGUUGCGUAUAAAGUGAAAACCCAUUAUUCUUUAUUCGGUAGAUAAAAUUUGAUAGUAUAAUAAAUACAUUGUUACAUUA
This is a long non-coding RNA of Cydia pomonella (codling moth), 1101 nucleotides long. RefSeq lists it as uncharacterized. NCBI's taxonomy places the organism in Eukaryota, Metazoa, Arthropoda, Insecta, Lepidoptera, Tortricidae. The record is from RefSeq and is a predicted model, not a curated record. The transcript is spliced from 2 exons.